This 1575-nucleotide long non-coding RNA is filed under the name Lynx pardinus (Iberian lynx). Lineage: Eukaryota; Metazoa; Chordata; Mammalia; Carnivora; Felidae. The record is from RNAcentral.
AAAUACCUGUUCCUAAGCGUGACAUCUAACUGUGCCUGAUCGUGAAAGAGUAACCAGAAGUAAGGCCGCCAUCUUACUUUCCCCUUGUUGAUUUUACAGAACCUCAGGUCAGGUGUGUGGACCUGUAAGCCUCUCUCUCUCCCUCUCUCUCUCUCUCUCUCUUUCUCGGCUCCCCAGGCCAGAGGGCCUUCCCGUGCCCAGAUGAGAGAACACGGAGUGUCCUUUGAUGGCACAGAGUCACCAAGGGUGGGAAAGGCAGGGGCUCAGAUGCAAAGAGCCCUUGGGACAGGCUGGAUUCUCCCUGCCCCCACCACCAACCCAGGUGAAUGAAUGAGCGAGCAGAAGACUGGCUGAGGGAGGGAAUGAAUGAUGGGUGGACAUGGCUGAGCCUCAGUUUCCUCCUGUACAGGAUGAGAGGUUGGAGGAGUUCCAUGGUUUUCGAACUCUGUUUUUCCGGUCUUCACAUAAUAAUGGACAUAGAAGCACCAUAUCUAAAACAGGUAUCAGUGGGCAAGUCUGAAUGAAACCAGGGCCGGCAGGUCCGAGCUCCACAGCUGUUUGCUCCCCCAGGCUCCUUGGACCCUCCCUGGCCCUGGGUUAUCUCCACGCAAAUGGAAAGACUGGACUCAGUGGUCCCCGAGGUCCCUGCGGCUCUGAGACUCUCUGAUAACCAUAAUUCCCCAUGUACGACAUAGGCCGGCUUGGUGUGGGGUCUCGGGGCUUCCUUGUAAUCAAGGAAUCAGCCAGGUUAAUGGAGCCAGGAGAUGGCUCUGUGACCCAGAGGGCGCCUGGGGUCUCAGCAGCAGGGUUUCUUUACCAGGAUGGCUGCUGUUUGCACACUGGGGUUACGCAGGCUCCUUCCCACAGAGUGGGGUCCCCGUGGGCCCACGGCUGCGGCCCCAUUUCCCUCAGGGAGCCAUGUGCUGACUCUCCGAUGAGCACCUGGACCCUCUCCCCAGGUCUGCUGAUGGCCAGCUUUCUCUGCACCCCCUCAUGGGGUGCAGAGCCCGGCCUGAUAAAAUCGCUGACGCAGAUUGCCGGCCCAGCUGCGGUGCUGGCAUGGACCCAGCAGCCCAGACGGUCACUGGCAGUGGUUCAGCUGGUUAUUGGCAUCGGCGACAUUGUCCUGCUCAGACUUUAAAGGCGUAAGGCUUGCCUCAUUCCUGGGUCAAACGCUAGCAGGAGCAAAGUGGGACGCGUGGACCCACCCUAAGGGAAUUCCUCAGCUGGUUGAUCCCGUGGGGGAGGGGGUGGAGGUCACGGCUACUGCGGACAGAUACAGAUGAACUGAGGGGCCAACGGCCCUGGAGUUUCUGUCAGACUUGUGGAGUCUCUUUUGGGCUCGUGGGAGACCCGUGACAUCUCUGCUACCUUUUCCCGGAAGCUGACCCACUAUAAACCAUCUCACCUGUCCUGAGCAUGAGAAAUAAAAAAAACAAACAAACAAAAACAAAACAAAAAACUCCCCUGUAACUUGAAAUUUAGCGUUCUGGAUUUCUCAGCUCACUCACCCAUAUGUCUUCACUGGGUAUCUAUUCUAAAAGGGGCACAAUGUUAGGUGCUGGAGAUUAAAAA